RNAcentral lists this unclassified non-coding RNA (3100 nucleotides) under Hevea brasiliensis (rubber tree). The record is from RNAcentral. Lineage: Eukaryota; Viridiplantae; Streptophyta; Magnoliopsida; Malpighiales; Euphorbiaceae.
AAAAGUGAUAUACAUUCAACAAUCAAAUUAAAUUAAGCUAAAUAAUAAUUUUUUUAAUAUAUAUUUAAUUAUCAUAACUUAUCAUUUCAUAUAAAAUAUUUACAUAGAAAUACAAUUUCACCAUACACAUUAUUUAUUUUUACAAAAUUUUUAAAUAAUAAACUUUUAUUUAUCGUUCCCAUUUAUGAAAAACACCAGUAAUAUUUUUUAUACUCCUUUUCAAUAUUAUCUUUAUCGCUAGUCCAAAUCUUAUUCUAUAUAAUCAGACACAAAAUUUAUGAGUUCAACAAAAUAUUUAUUUUUAGAUUUUAAUAAUUAUGAAUUUAUACAAGGAGUAUUAGAAAAGAGUAUUAAAAUGAAAAGCCAAUUAUACCCGUAUGGUCACUCAUGGAAUAGCUUACUAAUUUAACCUUGAAGAUGUAUAAUCAAAAUUUAAAUGAAAUAUGUUAAUUACACACUCACCGGCGAAGGUACGGAAGGAGGCACCCGAUUUUCAGCAGGAAUCUCAACAAAUUCCGAGAGGAUUGCUCGGAACUCAUCACCGGUCAUCGUUUCUUUCUCAAGUAGGAUUUCCACAAUCUUGUCAAUAGCUUCACGGUUGUUCCUUAUGUGGCCCAAUGCAAUACCAUACGCGCUAUCCGAUAUCCUCUUGACAGCAGCAUCAAUAUCUUCUGCGAGCUUUUCUGACAUUGAAUUCCUUGCCAUCAUUCUCAUAAUGACAUCAGCACUUUGAGCUGAGGAGUCCAUGAGUGACCAUGGACCAAUUUCAGACAUUCCAAAUGUAGUCACCAUCUGUGACAGAUUAAAUUCUCCCAAUUUCAUUAAAUUGUUUUGGCAAAACAACAACAAAGGGAAUUUAGAGGUAUGCACAAAAGUAAGAAAUGCUAAAUAAAUCACCUACAGAAAGGGUAAGGAAAACUGUGCAACUAUUAACUUUAAAACAAGCUGAAAUUCCAAGUCAAAUUUCAAAGCAACUUAAAAAUGUUAAAAGAAAGGGAAAUUUAUAUUGAAUUUUACCACCAAUAACGAUUUGGUCCUUAGGUUUUGGAAAUUGAAUUAUUUAAUCCCUAACUUUUGCUUCUAUCAAAAUUACAAGUCCCUUCCUCCCUACUCUCUCCCUCUCUCUCUCCCCCUCAAAAGCUAAAGAAAACUCCGUGAAGAAACAAGCAAAGCUCACUUUCUUCCUUACACUAUCUGUGUCAUGAUGUUGUGUCGCAGGCUGCUCUCACUUUCUCUUCUCCUCACCUUUCUUUUCUUUUCUUCUUCAACUUUCUUGCCCUUCUCACAUGGUGCUUCUCAUAUUUACUCCUUCCAUGCUCUACCCCCUGCAGGUAAGGAAAAUGAAGCAAAGCUUGAUUUGGAGUUCUCGUGGGGGACUAGGAGGUCUGUUGUGGAGGCACCUCUUAGUGAACCCGUUGAGAGCUCAAUACUUGUGCUAGCUCCAAGGAGGACUUACAGAAAAGACCCUUUAGAUGGGUUCAAAAGGUACACUGGAGGAUGGAAUAUCAGUAACCGCCAUUACUGGGCUUCUGUAGGAUUUACUGCAGUUCCCCUGUUUGCUAUAGCUGCAGUCUGGUUCCUGGGCUUUGGGUUGUGCUUGCUUCUUUUCUGCCUCUGUUAUUUCUGCUGUGGAAAGAAGUCUUAUGGCUACUCUCCAAUAGCUUAUGCUCUUUCUCUUAUUUUCCUCAUCGUCUUCAGCAUUGGUGCUAUCAUUGGGUGUGUGAUUCUAUAUACUGGUCAGGGAAAAUUUCACAGAAGCACAACUGAAACUUUGGAGUAUGUUGUGAAUCAGGCAGAUACUACUGUUCAGAAAUUAAAGGAUGUGUCAAACUUUCUUGCUUCAGCCAAGCUAACUGCAGUUGAUAAAGUUUAUCUACCUUCCAAUGUCCAAACUGAUAUUGAUCAGAUCGAAACCAGAAUUAAUUCUUCCACUAGCAUCCUUGCUGAUCGAACAGUGGAGAAUUCGGGUGACAUACGUGAUCUCUUGGAUUCUGUGAGACUGGCACUCAUUGUUGUUGCUGGUAUUAUGCUUCUCUUGACAUUCCUUGGAUUCUUAUUUUCAAUUUUCGGCAUCCAAUUGCUAGUGUACAUCUUGGUUAUUGUUGGAUGGAUACUUGUUGCUGGAACAUUUAUAUUAUGUGGUACAUUCCUUCUUCUCCACAAUGUGGCUGGAGACACUUGUGUUGCAAUGAAUCACUGGGUACAAAAUCCCACUGCUCAUACAGCUUUAGAUGAUAUAUUGCCCUGUGUGGACAGUGCAACUGCACAAGAGACCUUAUUACGAAGCAAAGAAAUCACUCUUCAAUACGUUGAUUUGAUUAACUCAGUUAUCACCAAUGUUUCUAAUAUUAAUUUCUCCCCCAACUUUCCAUCAAUGUACUUUAAUCAAUCUGGUCCAUUGGUGCCAAUACUCUGCAACCCAUUUUACCAUGACUUCACAGAUCGACCUUGCAGCCCUGGUGAAGUGGAUCUGAACAAUGCAACACAUGCAUGGCAGAGCUAUGUAUGUCAGGUUUCAUCAACUGGUAUAUGCAUCACAACAGGACGUUUGACCCCGGCCAUAUAUGACCAAAUGACGGCUGCAGUGAAUUUAUGCAAUGGACUGGAAAAUUAUGGGCCUUUCUUGAUUGAGCUAGAAGACUGCACAUUUGUAAGGGAAACCUUCAGCGAAAUAUAUAAGAACCACUGUCCCAGUCUGCAGCGAUACACCAGGUGGAUCUACGUUGGACUGGUGAUGGUCUCUACUGCAGUUAUGCUGUCUAUUAUCUUCUGGGUUAUAUAUGGGAGAGAAAGGCGUCAGCGUCUAUACACAAAGCAACUCCAAGCUGAAUCAACCCAAGGAGUGGAAGAGGACAAGCAGUCCCAGUCCUAAGAGAAAACUCAAUACCUCUUGUUCUGCUGGCCUUCGUUGGUUGGAGAGUUUCUUUACGCUGGGUUUGGUUUGCGUUUUUGUAUAUGUACAUCGUAGUUCUUUUAAUUUUUUACUUUGUCUGGUAGUGGGGUGUGGAGAUUUUUUUAAAGGUCAAGUUAGGAAGGUAUGACAUCAAAAUAUGUCAAUUUAUUAAUUUGAUGGAUUAUAAAAGUAAGAGUUGGAUCAAAA